RNAcentral lists this ribosomal RNA (310 nucleotides) under uncultured bacterium. RNAcentral's name for it is "bacterial SSU rRNA". It matches the Rfam family "Bacterial small subunit ribosomal RNA", at positions 20 to 358 of the family's 1533-position model. The record is from RNAcentral.
UGGCUCAGAACGAACGCUGGCGGCAGGCCUAACACAUGCAAGUCGAGCGAGGACUUCGGUCCUAGCGGCGGACGGGUGAGUAACGCGUGGGAACGUGCCCCUUGGUACGGAAUAGCCCCGGGAAACUGGGAGUAAUACCGUAUGAGCUCUACGGAGGAAAGAUUUAUCGCCAAGGGAUCGGCCCGCGUUGGAUUAGGUAGUUGGUGGGGUAAUGGCCUACCAAGCCGACGAUCCAUAGCUGGUUUGAGAGGAUGAUCAGCCACACUGGGACUGAGACACGGCCCAGACUCCUACGGGAGGCAGCAGUGGG